RNAcentral lists this ribosomal RNA (633 nucleotides) under uncultured bacterium. RNAcentral describes it as "bacterial SSU rRNA". It matches the Rfam family "Bacterial small subunit ribosomal RNA", at positions 28 to 655 of the family's 1533-position model. The record is from RNAcentral.
AUUGAACGCUGGCGGCAGGCUUAACACAUGCAAGUCGAGCGGAGAUGAGGUGCUUGCACCUUAUCUUAGCGGCGGACGGGUGAGUAAUGCUUAGGAAUCUGCCUAUUAGUGGGGGACAACAUUCCGAAAGGAAUGCUAAUACCGCAUACGUCCUACGGGAGAGAGCAGGGGAUCUUCGGACCUUGCGCUAAUAGAUGAGCCUAAGUCGGAUUAGCUAGUUGGUGGGGUAAAGGCCUACCAAGGCGACGAUCUGUAGCGGGUCUGAGAGGAUGAUCCGCCACACUGGGACUGAGACACGGCCCAGACUCCUACGGGAGGCAGCAGUGGGGAAUAUUGGACAAUGGGGGGAACCCUGAUCCAGCCAUGCCGCGUGUGUGAAGAAGGCCUUAUGGUUGUAAAGCACUUUAAGCGAGGAGGAGGCUACUGAGACUAAUACUCUUGGAUAGUGGACGUUACUCGCAGAAUAAGCACCGGCUAACUCUGUGCCAGCAGCCGCGGUAAUACAGAGGGUGCGAGCGUUAAUCGGAUUUACUGGGCGUAAAGCGUGCGUAGGCGGCUUCUUAAGUCGGAUGUGAAAUCCCCGAGCUUAACUUGGGAAUUGCAUUCGAUACUGGGAAGCUAGAGUAUGGGAGA